UAAUUCUGAAAAGGUUAGGGUGUUGAUACAAAAAAAAAAAAAAGAAAGAAAUAGGAGAAUCAUUUGGGUUUCAUAUUCAAAUUAAACUCUAAAUCGAUGGAGCUGGUUUUGAUAGGGAUGCAGUAGGCACAGGUGGCUGUAGAAGUCCCAAUGAAGGAUCAUAGAUGGAGAGGGAAACCUAGGGAUGUUGGGAGAUCACUGUAAAUUACUAAAUCGCUCAAAAAGCCACCAAAACAAGGCAGGCUUGCUUGAUUAGUGGAAGUGUGAGAAUUGCCUCAGGUCCUGGGUGGGGGAUGGAAUGAGCCUUCCAUUCAGAUUCAGACCGGGGGCCAGAGUUUGAGGACCGCCCUUUUGCUGAUUUGAAUACACACUUUACCGGAUGCUAAGGAGGAGCUACUACUUGAAGAAUGAGGAGGUCUUUUCCAACCCCCACACCCCUUGGAUAAUAAAACUGUAGCCCAUUGGAUCCGAUCCUGGGGGCAGAGCUUCUAUGUCUGCCCGCUUGCAUCUCUCCCAAGCGUCCUAUCCUCAUAAAUCUCUUUCUUGCCUAUCACUUUGUCUCUCGCUGAAUUCCUUCUGCGCAGAGACUUGAACCCGAACCUCAGGGAGGCCAGACACUGAGUGAGUGAUUCGAAUUUAAAACUAUGGGUUCAAGUCCCAAUCUGGGAUUAGGCUGGGUUCAAGUCCUAGCGUGUGGGUUCAAGUCCCAGUCUGUGUUGUGCCUCGGUUCAGGCCAUUAGUGCUGUCCGUUUCAGUUUGAUGCAGAGUAAAGGAACAAACUGCCACUUAAUUGGAAGAGAAGACAGCAUCCUUGCUGAUUUGUUCCUUUUUUAAAAACGAAAGACUAUUUGGAGUUCUGGAAAUCUGAGUGUUGGGAUGGAGAGAACAUUCUGGUAAAGCAGGUGCCUUCUGAGUUUACCCAGCUCAGAGGUGGGAUUAAGGGAUCAGAAUAAGAGCAAAAGGCCCUUCAUGGUACUGCCUGCCCUCUGCAUCCGCGGAUUCAGUUUUGCAAAAUUUCCAUCUGCGGACAAUUGAAUCUGUGGAUUCGAGACCGCCAAUAUGGAGGGUCAGCUAUAUUCAUGUACUACAAACACCCUUUCAAUAAAGGGCUUGGGCAUCGUGGCUUUGGUACCUGUGGGUCCUGGAGUCACCCCCACACACACACACCCCUCCCCAUGGAUGCUGAGAUGCCGAUAUCUCCACUCCCAGCGCUUCCUCCCAGACAGGGGAAGGGCAAGUCCCUGGGUGGUUUUCGUGGUGUUUUAAAAAUGCAUACAAAACGCUAAGCCGCCAGCUCUGUGUGUUGUAGAUGGAGACGAGACAUCCAGACUUCUGAGCUUCCUCAGGGGAAGAUAACUGUGCAACCCUUCGGGAUGCUGCGAAAGUUGGAGCUGGACUGAGGGGGAGACAGAGAGAUGCUGGCGUGAAGGGUAAGUGAGAACUAAAGCCGGGUGCUCGGCAGCCGGGUUCUUUCACGUCUGAGUUCCUCGGUGUGCAAGCUGUGUGUGCUCUGGAUGUACUGCUGUGCACGUGAACUCUGUCAGCCAGGGCUCUGGAGCAUGCUUACCUGUUUCCAGGUUUCUGAGGGAUUCUGUUACAGGGCAGUGGCAGUGGGGCCAAGCCAGGAUCAGGAGGCCUCAGGAGCCCCAGAGCGUAAACCAUUACUGCACACAUUUAUGGACUAUGAUUCAGGCCUGGCACUUCGAUGGGUUAUGUCAUUUAAUUCUCAUCUUAGAGACGGGACGCCAGGGAGCCCUAAGAACCUGGCUGAUCACUGAGAGGAAGGUCAUAAUGCGUCCCAUCCCAACGUAAAAGCCUUUUCUCUCUUCUCCAACAUUCCCCGCUUGCCUUUCUUCUGGUCCCAACGUUCCAUCUAUUUUUUUCUUAAAAAAAAAAAAAUUGUUUUGUUUGUUUUGCUUUUUAGGGCCACACCUGCAGCAUAUGGAGGUUCCCUGAGUCACGGCCACAGCAAUGCCAGAUCCAAGCGACACCUGUGACCUACACCACAGCUCAUGGCAAUGCCGGAUCUUUAAACCACUGAGCGAGGCCAGGGAUCGAACCUGCAACCUCAUGGUUCCUAGUCAGAUUCGUUUCUGCUGAGCCACAAUGGGAACUCCUCUUCUAAAAAAUUUUUAAAUUUGAUUUAUUAAUUUUUACAAUUUUUUUUUAUUAAGGAAUAGUUGGUGUACAGUGUUGUGCCAAUUUCUGCUGUAUGGCAAAGUGACCCAGUCAUACAUAUAUAUGGUUUUUUUCUCAUACUAUCUUCCAAAAUGUUCUGUUUUUUUUUCAUGGAAUCACAAGUCUCUGUGUGAAAGGGAAGGAGCACCAAGGGGAUGUCUGCAUAGGUCACUGUGGCGGAUCAUUGACCUAAAUGGCAUCACAGUGUCCUGGCUCUUCCAGAACCUUGCCCUGUCCUCUCAACCUGGGACGUCUGCUUUCCCUCCUCUUGCAUUGGGCAGGACUCAGGGAUGGGGACUGCCUUUGCAGAGAAGGUGGCAGAGGUAACACUGAGUGACCUCAAAGCAGAGAUCAGCGAAGCAGAUGAAGCUCCCUGCUGGCCCUCCUGCUCCGGGCCCUCCUGCCUGUGAGACCAGCUACCAUGUGGUAAGGCAGCCCAGGCCCCCAGGAAGCCCCCCUUACUCCUGCCCCCCAAGGCGCCACUGACAUAUAAGGGAGACUUGGUGAGAGGGGUGGCGGCUGCAGCCCCCCCAGCCUUGAAGCUGCUCCACUGGUGCCAGUGGAGUGCUGCCCGGACAGUGAACCGUUCCCUCUGAGUCCUGCCCCUUCCGCAGAUGCAGGAGAGGAUAAACACUGUCACUGAUUUGAAUGAUCUUAUUUAAACCCCCUGUGAUGCCCUUUAAGGUGGAUGUCGUUACACAAAUUAUAGGUUAGAGAAUGGAAGUCAAGUCAGAUGAAGUGACUCACCCAAGGCCAUGUGAUGAUGAACUGGGAUUUGAACCCAGGGCUCUCUGACACCAAUCUUGUGAGAUCCAGCUGUGCCCCAGUGCCUGGUCCUCCUGGACCAGGAGCUGGGGCCUUUGCUGCCCUGCAGACAUAACUGCUCUCAGAGACGCAGGCCCAUUGGGAGUAGGAGGACGAGAGAGCACAACUUUGGAGAACUAACUUUACGUGGUUUGUUGUGACUCAGUUUCCCUAACUAGAAUCCUAGUUAAACCCUCCUGGUCCCGCCUUGAACAUUCAGUUCCCAAGGGAAGCUGCCUGCCUUCCCCCCAGGAGCUGAGAUCACGUGGUAUCUGCUCACGUUACAGGAGAUUCGUAUCAUGUAAAAUAAUAACCACGUUUCUAGGUCACCCGCAGAGUGACUUCAGGCUCUGGGAGCCCAGGGCCUCAUUCUUUAGCACAGGCUCUAACCUCUGAUAGACAAUGAAUAAAUGCAAGUUAAAAAAAUACCAAAGAGCUGAAAGUGUGGAUUUUCUUGAGAAGGAUGGUGGUAGGGUAAGGACGUGCAAAAUUCCAGGUAGAGAUACUGAAAUCUUGUCUAGCUAAAAGUUUGUCUUCUGAGGUCAAGUUUUCUUUGUCACUUUCUUUGUCUUUUCCUGUUAGAUAAAACAUCUUUGGGUUUGACUUUGAUAAAUAAAGAAAUUCCAACAAAAUGCAACAACAAACUAAACAAUAACAGGAAGAGGAGACACUCUUUCUCAGUGAAUAGUUAUUCAAGUGGAAACUAUUUUCUGAUGUGCGACAUUGGAGAAUUGACUUUGGUAUGCAUGUGGAAAUGUGGAAAUGUGACGUGUAACGUCUGCACUCAGCCUGUUCAGGCUUUGAUGGGUGGCUUUGUGUCUUUCAACUUGAAUUUAGUUGUCACUGCAGCUGCUUGAGCACUGGGAACAGUUCUUCACUCCACUUGAGCCUGUGCUUUGUAGGUGUAGGACUCCAGUAAUAAUGGGGGGGGGGGGAGCAGCACGACCAGAAUAUGAGGAAUUUUUUUAAAAAAGAAGUAUAAAUAAAUGCAUGCAAAAUGUUAGGCAAGUUUGGAAUUCCUGCUGUGGCU
RNAcentral lists this long non-coding RNA (4012 nucleotides) under Sus scrofa (pig). Its description in RNAcentral is "lncRNA (ENSSSCG00015059201.1)". Lineage: Eukaryota; Metazoa; Chordata; Mammalia; Artiodactyla; Suidae. The record is from RNAcentral.